CUCGAUCAGAUGCUUCCGCAGAGUGGCGUAUGUGCUGCUCCAGUGCCACAGCAGUGAACAGCAGGCCGCCCCAGAAGAACUACCCUACAGCGACUGGCACCUUCCUUACCUUUGCGGGAGGCAGAGCAUGCUAAUCCCAAGAACAGAGAUCAACCAUGGUCUGAAAAGGGACUUGACAGAAAUCCAAAAACUGUUGGUGGCCAAGCUAUCAAAGGUAAAGGCCCCUGGUGUGUUCAGCGCCCUCCCAACACCUGUCUAAUUCGAGCAUUUACCUGACUCAUUCACCUUCUUAGAAGAAAGAUGCAAAAAGACUAC
This is a long non-coding RNA of Chinchilla lanigera (long-tailed chinchilla), 315 nucleotides long. RefSeq lists it as uncharacterized. The record is from RefSeq and is a predicted model, not a curated record. The transcript is spliced from 2 exons. NCBI's taxonomy places the organism in Eukaryota, Metazoa, Chordata, Mammalia, Rodentia, Chinchillidae.